UGUGGCUCUGUGUGUCCAGAUC
Molecule: microRNA, 22 nt
Filed under: Mus musculus (house mouse)
Lineage: Eukaryota; Metazoa; Chordata; Mammalia; Rodentia; Muridae
Description: mmu-miR-7029-3p
Source: miRBase by way of RNAcentral